RNAcentral lists this ribosomal RNA (255 nucleotides) under Pediococcus pentosaceus. Its description in RNAcentral is "partial 16S ribosomal RNA". It matches the Rfam family "Bacterial small subunit ribosomal RNA", at positions 61 to 305 of the family's 1533-position model. Lineage: Bacteria; Bacillati; Bacillota; Bacilli; Lactobacillales; Lactobacillaceae. The record is from RNAcentral.
UGACGUACUUGUACUGAUUGGGAUUUUAACACGAAGUGAGUGGCGAACGGGUGAGUAACACGUGGGUAACCUGCCCAGAAGUAGGGGAUAACACCUGGAAACAGAUGCUAAUACCGUAUAACAGAGAAAACCGCAUGGUUUUCUUUUAAAAGAUGGCUCUGCUAUCACUUCUGGAUGGACCCGCGGCGUAUUAGCUAGUUGGUGAGGUAAAGGCUCACCAAGGCAGUGAUACGUAGCCGACCUGAGAGGGUAAUC